GUGAUUGCUUUGGCGGCACAUAUGUAAAAUUGGAACAACACAGAGAUUAACAUGGUCCCUGUGCAAGGAUGACACUCAGAUUCAUGAAUUACUCCACACUCUU
This is a small nuclear RNA of Grammomys surdaster, 103 nucleotides long. NCBI's taxonomy places the organism in Eukaryota, Metazoa, Chordata, Mammalia, Rodentia, Muridae. The record is from RefSeq and is a predicted model, not a curated record.